UUUGUUUUUCUAUUAUUUACUAACCAAAAAACCAAAAAUAUGUCAUUGUAUAGUUUAACUUCUUUUGUAGAUAGUGCACAUGCUCACCUAUGCUCUAUCAAACUCAUAUCUAGGGUUUGAGACCCUCAAUGCAAGGAGCUCAAUCAAGAAAUGGUUCACAUUGACUCUAAGUAUCAUAUACGGAUCCCCAUGAUCUUCACAUGUUAUUUUGAUCAAGAAAUCAUCAAGAGUUUGGAGUUGGUUUG
This 245-nucleotide long non-coding RNA is filed under the name Lathyrus oleraceus (garden pea). RNAcentral describes it as "Pisum sativum (pea) long non-coding RNA (PSAT_LNC038928)". The record is from RNAcentral. Lineage: Eukaryota; Viridiplantae; Streptophyta; Magnoliopsida; Fabales; Fabaceae.